CCACGAAAGACAGUGAUGCUUCCCUUCCAAGCACAUAUCUGACACAGCAUGCUGUGGAAUAUCACAAGUUCUGAGUCUUUCGUCU
This 85-nucleotide small nucleolar RNA is filed under the name Salvator merianae (Argentine black and white tegu). RNAcentral describes it as "Small nucleolar RNA SNORD121A (ENSSMRG00000020229.1)". It matches the Rfam family "Small nucleolar RNA SNORD121A". Lineage: Eukaryota; Metazoa; Chordata; Lepidosauria; Squamata; Teiidae. The record is from Rfam by way of RNAcentral.